RNAcentral lists this ribosomal RNA (235 nucleotides) under uncultured bacterium. RNAcentral's name for it is "partial 16S ribosomal RNA". The record is from RNAcentral.
CUGCUGCCUCCCGUAGGAGUUUGGUCCGUGUCUCAGUACCAAUGUGGGGGGUUAACCUCUCAGUCCCCCUAUGUAUCGUCGCCUUGGUGAGCCGUUACCUCACCAACCAGCUAAUACAACGCAUGCCCAUCAUCAACCACCGGAGUUUUCAACCCCAUGCGAUGCCGCAUGAGAUAUUAUGGGGUAUUAGUACCAAUUUCUCAGUGUUAUCCCCCUGUUGAUGGUAGGUUGCGUA